Gorilla gorilla gorilla (western lowland gorilla) is the source of this 16016-nucleotide long non-coding RNA. RefSeq lists it as uncharacterized. NCBI's taxonomy places the organism in Eukaryota, Metazoa, Chordata, Mammalia, Primates, Hominidae. The transcript has 7 exons. The record is from RefSeq and is a predicted model, not a curated record.
GAAGCAGAAAAGAAAGAUCGGGGACCUCACAACAGUAAGAGAGGAGCCGGGCACUGUGCUCCUGGGCUUCAGGCUCUAAAACCAACAGCUUCCAGUUCUCCAGCAGUUACUGGAACAUCCAGGCCCUAGGGUGGUGAAAUGAGCCCAGCUUUGAAACCAGAUGGAUCUGGAUUCAAAUUCUAACUCUGUUACUUCUUGAUUAUGAGGCUCUGGGCAAGGCACAUGCUUUCCGAGUAUCAGUUUUUUUUCAUCUGCAAGCUGCAGAGCUAUUGGAUGGGUGAGGACAAUAUGGAAAAUGCCUGUCAGUCAGAAAGUGACCACUGCAGCUACUGUUACUGGUUUGACUCUGGGCAGUGAGCUGCUAGCUCAGUUGGAAGGAGCACUGUGUGAAUGAGGCCGCCGGGGUGGGGUCACUGUCACUUAGCUAGAUCCAGGCCACAGGCUGUGCUGGACCUCUCUCUUCAGAGGAGAGAGCCAGAAGGGAUGAAAGCAUGGUCCCUGGUCUUCAAGAACUUUAGAGCUUAGCAUGGAACCAGGCUUCCCACUAGAAAAAUCGCUUAAGGUGCACCCUUGUGGUAGGCUGCUGGCAUGAGUUCUGUUGAAGCAUUUGUAUUGAACCUGGGCACUGUGACAGAAGGAUGGGAAGGUGCUUACGUUCAUUUCCCUUCCUCCCAGUGCCUCUCUUCCCUCACUCCAUCAUUUUAGCCCCUCUGCCUGCAAUAUUUCCCUUCCGUGCCCCCGGUAACUGUGAUGCAUGGCAAAUGGGCUGGCUCAGUAGCUGUGUGGGGCAACUUUCUCAGCACACAGCUGCCCCCAGACACUUUCAGGGUGCACUUAUUCUCCCUCCCUUUCCACUCCCAACCGCUCUGCUCCCUUCUCUUCUUACACAGAUGAAGCAAAGGGAAGUGCCCUCCGGAGGCCCUAGGUUGGGGAGACGGGGUAAGGGGUGGAACCCAGGACACAGAGUUGAGAUGGGGUGAGGGGUAGAGGCAGGUAAAGAACGAAAUCUUAAUUCUCAUUUCAGUGACAUUUUCCUCAACUUUUCCUGUCCUUCCCCAUCAGGUUGUUAGCCAGGGGCCUGAGGAGGGAUAAAGGAACUGCAGUCCCGGCUCCCUCCAUCAGGAAGAAUGUCUGGGGUGUUGGCCUGGAACGCUGAUGAGUUGAUUUCCUUCUAUCUCCACAGCAUAGGUUUACCAGGGAGAAAAGAAAGAUAUUAAAGCCAUGACAGCAAACAGCCCCUUUCUCCUAAGGUUCCUGAUUUGAAGUGGCAAAACAAGGCAGUGGCAUAGUCUCCUGUCCUAUGUCCUUGGCAUGCAGCCUCCACCCAGCUCUGGCUGCAGAGGGCCGCACUCCGCUUGUACCGCAACUCAUGCACAGUCCAGACUUAUACAGCAGCCGGCAACCCUGAGGGCAGGAUGAUUCCGAGACACACCAAAUCUGUGCUUCUAAGAAGCCUGGGCGAGCAUCCUUACUAUGAGCCCAUGAAACCACAUGGAUCUGUCCCAGCAUCCAAGCCUCCAGUCAGACACAGCUGGAGCAGCACACAAGCAAGACCAGAGACCAGCCGCUCGGCCAGCCCCCAGAACUGGUCUCGCUCUGUUGCCCAGGCUGGAGUGCAGUGGCAGUAUCUCGGCUCAUUGCAGCCUUGACCUCCUAGGUUCAAGCGAUCCUCCCACCUCAGCCUCCCAAGUAGCUGGAACUACAAACGCACACCACCACACCCAGCUGAAAAUGUUAUGUUUUUAUCACUAUUUAAAAUAAAAUAUAUGUUUUAAGAACACUAAAAAAAAAAGUCAUGAUUCCUUCUCAUUUCCUAGACCUGAGACAUUUUUCAGACCUGAAAUCUAUUGAAUGGGAAAAUGUGACAGAGUCCCCGAGAGGAAGGUCCCUGCAACAUCACAGCAAGUGUGCACUGUAAUAAUUCCACCAGUCCUGGGUGACUGUCGCCUGGGAGAGGAGGAAUAUCCAGACAUGUUGAAGACUACUAGACACAGGGCCUGAAAUGACACUGAUAUUCAAAGACCUGAAAUGUCAUUAUGGCCCCUGUUACAAUGAUGGGCUAUAGGUCAGGUAAAAUGGGGAUUCUGGCUGAUGUCCAGCUUCAAGUGGGUCCACCGGGGCCAUGGCUCCACCUGGUGGUCAUUGCCCCAGUCCCUGAAUGUAUAACUGGGAUUGGUAUAUUCAGCAGUUGGGGAAGCCCCGAUAUGGGGCCCCCUGCUUUAUGAUAUAAGAGCUAUCGUGUGGGGAAGGUCAGUGGAAGCCUCUGAAAUUGUGUCCGUCCCCCUUCACCCAGCCAAGAUAGCAAAUACAAAAUAAUAUCUCAUUCCAGAGGGAAGAUAGAGAUCAUUGCCACCCUUAAGUACCUCAAGGAUGCAAGGAUUGUGGUCUGUGUCAUACCUCUGUUUAAUUCACCAGCCUGGCCCCUGCAGAAAACACAUGGAUCCUGGGAAAUAACCAUAGACGAUUCCUAGCUCAGCUCAAGCCCCGAGUGAUCAUGCAGGGUGUGGUGUCAUUGCUAGAUUAUAUAAAUAUGGCUUCAAGUACAUGACAUUUGGCCAUUGAUUUGGCAAAUGCAUUCUUCUUUAUCUCGAUCAAGAAAGAGAAUCAGAAACAGCAUUCACAUGGACUGGAUGACAAUAUUCAUUUAGAUUCCCCGGCCCCCAGGGUUGUUGUUAACUCUCCCAAUCUAUGUCAUGAUACAUUCAGAAAAGAUCUAGAUCAUCUGGACUUCCCACAGAAUAUCACAAUGCUCCAUUCAUCAAUGACAUUAGGCUAAUUUGGGAGAAUAGCAAGAGGUGGCUGGCACCUGAAAGCCUCGGGAAGACACAUGCACUCUAGAAAAUGAGACAUAAACUCUCUGAAGAUUCCAGGGCUUGCCCCUCCCAUAAAGUUUUUUGGAAUCCAGUGGUAAAGGGUGUACUAGGACGUUGCCUCUGAAACAAAAGACAAAAUGCUGCAUCUUGCAUGCACAAAGAAGGAACUAAAAUGCCUGGAGGGUUCUGGCAGCAAACAUAUUCCAUGUCUGGGAAUAGUGCUCCAGCCUGUAUUCUAGAGGGUGCAGCUUUGUGUGGGCCUGGGGCAGGGAUAUAGAGCCUGAUCAACAAAAGGAGCUAGAACUGCUCUUGGACAAUAAGGCAGGAAUAUGUGUGAAACUCAGGUCAGCCACUUGAGCACCUCUUGAUGAUACCCUUCAUGCCCAAUGGUGACCUGAAUGGCAAGUGCAGCCCAGCCUGUGAAGGGUGACGUGAUCAGGGACUCAGAGCCUCUCAGGAAUCAGGGUUGUGCUACGCCACCUGGUAGGCUAUCGAGACCAGCAGAAAUGACAGUGGUGUCAUCUCUAGCAGAGAGGGAGAGUGGAAUUUAGAAUGGAUAAUGGAGGAGGGAAAUGAUGUUACCUAUUGCAAGACCAACUGCAGCAACAGCCUGUGGUUAACCCACUGACCUCCCUUAACUAAGUCCCUUCAAGAAAAGAGCCCAUUGAAACCCCGGAAGAGCUACCCCUCAAUGUGUGUGGAAAGUAGAUCCACAUGGUACAAAAGGAAGACUGUGGUAGCCAUGAAGUUGCCCCACUUGGAAUUGUCUUCAAGAAAGAACUUGCUGCUCAGCUGCAAGGAGGACAGUUAGCUGUCAGCCUCCAGCUGUUAGUGCUGAGGGAUCUGUCUCAGUUUUCCAGCCAAGGCACACUGCUCUCAGCAGGCUCUGGCCAGUAACUGAGCAGAGUGGAGGGGUUCUUAGGGCCUGAACAUUUCUGCCCUAUGCGAACCCCUCUAAUGAAAUACCUUUGCUCUGGAGUUCCCCAAUAUGUUGCCCAAGAUUCUAUCUGCAUUUCAGUCUGAGGCUCUCCUUGUUGAACCCUGCUUCCUGUCCCCUCUCAUAGGCACUCCCUCUUAGGCCUCUUACACUCCUCAUUCAGUAUCUGCUUCCCAGAGGAGGCAGCUGACAAACGUUUCUUCCUCUUGUCUUCCCCAUCCCCAACAUCUAAUCCAUCAGCAAGUCUUUUUGGUUCUACCUUAAAGCAUAGCUGGAAUAUGACCAUUUCUCCAUCUCUCCUCUGCCAGCUCCUUCCCUACAUAGUCUGGUGAUGUCUCUUUGCCUCCCCUCAUCCCCAUUCAGCAGCUGGAGUGUCUUCUUGUAUGUGUGUGGGUGUUUUUGUUUUUGUUUUGUGUGUGUGUGUGUGUGUGUGUGUGUGUGUGUGUGUGACAGAGUUUCGCUCUUGUUGUCCAGGCUGGAGGGCCAUGGUGUAAUCUUGGCUCAUCACAACCUCCGCCUCCCAGGUUCAAGUGAUUCUCCUGCCUCAGCCUCCCGAGUAGCUGGGAUUACAGGUAUAUGCGCCAUCAUGCCCGGCUAAUUUUGGUUUUUUUUUUUUUUUUUUUUUUUAGUAGAGACGAGGUUUCUCUAUGUUGGUCAGGCUGGUCUUGAACUCCGACUUCAGGUGAUCUGCCAGCCUCAGCCUCCCAAAGUGCUGGGAUUACAGGUGUGAGCCACCACGCCCAGCCUGGAGUGUCUUCUUAAAGCAGUUCAUGUCACUUUACUUAAAACCAUCCUAAUUUCAUGUCACUCUUAAAAAUCCAAAUAUUUUCUUUGGCAAAUAAGGCCCUUCUCUGCCAAGCACAGUGGCUCAUGCCUGUAAUCCCAGCACUUUGGAAGGCUGAGGCAGGCAGAUAGCUUGAGCCCAGGAAUUUGAGACCAGCCUGCACAACAUGGCAAAACCUCAUCUCUACUAAAAAUACAAAUAAAUGGCCAGGCGUGGUGAUGCAUACCUAUAGUCCCAGCUACUUGGGAGGCUGAGGUGGGAGGACCACUUGAGCCUGGGAGGUCAAGGAUGCAGUGAAUCAAGAUAGUCCCACUGCACUCCAGUCUGGGCGACAGAGUGAGAGCUUGUCUCAAAAAAGAAAAAGGGGAAAAAAAAAAGAUCCUUCUUCUUCUGACUCAUGCAUAUCUCCAACCUUAUCCCCAGGCCAGACACACAGAUCUCUUUUCUGUUCUGUACACACGCCAGCUCUUUCCCACCUCAGGACCUUUGCCCUUGCUAUUCCUUCUGCCUAAAAUACCCUUGUUCUCUUUUUUAACUUCUUUAUCCAAACAUCAGUUCUUAUGAGCCUUCUCUGGCUGCUCUGUCUUGAGAGGCACCCCUUCCAACAGAAUUGUUACCUUAUCAUUCUGCUUCCAUCACAACAAUGACCACAGUCUAAUUAUUCUCCUCAGUUGCCUCUUUAUUUUCUCUCUCCCUGGGUAGAAUAGAAGCCCGCACAGGGCGGGGCCCUGACUUAUCUCCCCAACACCUAAACUCAAUCUUUAUUUGUGUAAUGAAUGAUUGAAGAAAGCCUUACCUAACACAUGUACAUCUCCACCACAUUAUCCCCACCAUUUAGUUCCAUUGUAAUAAAAGUAAUACCUUUUGAUGGUCCUUUACAGUUUUAGAUAGCAUGUUCUUGUUUGCCAUCAAUAGCUCUCUCACACACACACUAUUUAAUUUUUGAUCUUCAUAAUUAACCCUGUGAAGAAAAUAGGACAAGUAUGACCCCCAAAUUAAGGAUUAGAAAAAUUGAAGCCGGCCAGGCACGGUGGCUCACGCCUGUAAUCCCAGCACUUUGGAAGGCCGAGGCGGGUGGAUCACUUGAGGUCAGGAGUUUGAGACCAGCCUGGCCAACAUGGUGAAACUCCAUCUCUACUAAAAAUACAAAAAAAAUUAGCCGGGCGUGGUGGCGGGCACCUAUAACCCCAGCUACUCGGGAGGCUCAGGCAGGAGAAUCACUUGAACCCGGGAGGCUGAGGUUGCAGUGAGCUGAGAUCGUGCCAUUGCACUCCAGCCUGGGUGACAGAGCAAGAAUCUGUCUUAAAAAAAAAAAAAAUGAAAUCGAGAGAAGUAACCAAGCUAGAAAGUGUCAAAAAGUGUCAAAAUCAAAAUCUAAAAGCAGGCUUUGGGAAAUGCAGUGAUGUCUGACCCCAACUGCCUGGAUUCAGGCCAGACUUCACAGGGUAAGGAACAGUCCUCCACUUCAGGCCACUCUCACUUCAGAUACCAGUAGCCAGUUCAGGGGUUGGUUCCACUACCCCUGCAGGUUUGAUAAUUUGCUACAAUGACUCACAGAACUCAGGAAAGCACUAUACUUAUGAUAAAUUAAACUUUUAUUGCAGCAAAAGGGUACAAAUCAGAACCAGCCAAGAGAAGAGAUACAGAGGGCAAAGUCUGGGAAGAGCCACACGGGAAGCUUUGGGCACCUUCUCCUGUGGAGUUCCAGACAUCACUGCCCCUCCCAGCUACGAGGUGUGGCAGUGCUUGCGAGUGCUGCCACCAGGAAAGCUUGCCCGAGUCUUUGGUGUCCAGAGCCCUUGCUGGAGCUUGACCACAUGCUGCCUGCAUGACUGACCUUUGCUCUCCAGUCCCUAUGGGGGCUGGAACUGAUAUGGCGUGUUUCAGAGCCCCCAUUAUAAAUCACAUCAUUUGAGCAUCUGGUGGCCAAACUCCUCAGGCAAACAAUGACAUUCCUAUUGGGCAGGACAUUCCAGAGGCCUAGAGAUCAUCUCCCAGUAGCCGAGGGCCAAAGCCAGACCUCUCUUUGGUUGGCUUCAGGUCACAUGUUGCUCUGGAGAACCGGGAAGGGUGAGCAGACACCAAUCAUGACCCCAAACAGCAAGAGGACAGAAGGAUCCCCCCUACUCCACAGCUUGACGGCAGAGCAGUGACCAGAAUAUAUGCUCAGGAAGGCCAAAGAGAUGAAGCCGCAGCUGCCUCUUUUUUUUUUUUUUUUUUUUUUUUUUUUUUGAGACAGUCUCAUUCUAUUGCCCAGGCUGGAGUGCAGUGGUGCAAUCUCAGCUCACUGUAACCUCCACCUCCCAGGUUCAAGCAAUUCUCGUACCUCAGCCUCCCAGGUAGCUGGAACUAUACAGGUGCACCAUCACACCCGGCUAAUUAUUUUUUGUCUUUUUUUGUAGAGAUGGGGUUUCACCAUGUUGGUCAGGCUGGUCUCGAACUCCUGGCCUCAGGUGAUCCACGCACCUCCGCCUCCCAAAGUCCUGGGAUUAGAGGCGUGAGCCACCGUGCCCAGCCAGGCUUGCUUCUCUGAGCCAUACCGUUCUGUUGGAACAAGCAUCCUUUCUAUUAAAAGCAAUAAAUCUCCUCUUAUUUAAGUGGCAGAUGGUUUAGAUUGUUACUUUUGCUUUCAGCAAUCCUCUAGAAAAAGAAGGAACUUUAAGGUUGAGAACUAACUUCUAGCAGCUAUGCAGAGGUUCUGAGAGGUGACUCGUGUUUUUUACAUCAAGACCUCCACAAAGGCCCCUUCUGUCAUUGAGUCAAAGUUCUAGCGACCUAGGUUCAUCCUCAAAUGUGUAAUGAAAACCUGUGAAUCACUUGGACUCCACUUCCCCUCCCACCCUGGGUCCUCCACCCCACCUUGCUUUGGUUUUGCUUGGGGAGAAAGUGUUCUCUACACAAUAUGUCUCUCUCCCUAUCAGUCUGCAGGAUGCUCAGCAGGGGCACUCCCUGAACAUGCCUGCUCCCACAGCAUGUGCAAAGGCUUCACACUUGGAUUGAGGGUUAUACAUUUCUUCAUGGACAUCCCCAAACAUCACAGAACAGAGACAAGGUUUCUGGUCGUUUUGGAAUGUCCACACCAUUCCCAUUCUUCAAAAUCUGUCACACUUCCAGAUAGUUCCAGUGAACAAUGAACUCUCCCCCUAUGCAGUAACAGUUGAUUAUUCAAUUUAACACUGAAUUAUAUAUUCUCUGGAACUGUUCUCUAACAACUAUGAGGCGUUUUCAACGGUAGUUGAAUGGAAAAAUACCAAACUGGGAGUAAAAAGAUCUGGCUUCCAGGCCAGGCGCUGUGGCUCAUGCCUGUAAUCCCAGUACUUUGGGAGGCUGAGGCGGGCGGAUCACCUGAGCUCAAGAGUUCGAGACCAGCCUGGACAACAUGGUGAAACCCUGUCUCUACUAAAAAUAGAAAAAUUAGUCAAGCGUCAUGGUAGGCGCCUGUAAUCCCAGCUGCUCGGGAGACUGAGGCAUGAGAAUCGCCUGAACCUGGGAGGCGGAGGUUGUAGUGAGCCGAGAUCGGGCCAUUGCACUCCAGCCUGAGCGACAGAGCAAGACUCCGUCUCAAAAAAAAAAAAAAAAAAAAAAAGAUCUGGCCUCUCAAGAGGCCGCCACUAACUCUCUGUGUAACCUUGAGCAAGCCAAUGUUCUGGGCCUUGGUGCUCCCUGCAGGGUAAGAGGAGGACUGCCGAUCUCUAAGGAUCUUCCGUGGUCUAUGGGUUUAUGACUCAAAACUCCUCAAAGUGCAGGAACACAAGCCACAUCCCUUCUCAAGGCCAGACACAUACUAGGAGCUCUAUUAAUACCUGAAUAAAAACCACGGAUGAAGAGCUUGCCUGGCCCUGGCAUUUCUAUACCAAACCAACACACCAUGGAUCAUUGUGUCUUCCCUGGGACAGACCCUCAGAGCCUACAAGUGAGUCUACAACUUCACUGAUAUAGAUCUAUUAUUCCUUAGCUUAGACUUCCAUCUCUCCAGAUCAGCCUUCAGGAAAACUAGGAAACUAUCAAUAAUGAUUUCAAUUGUCGGCUUCAAAUUCACCUUAUUUCUUCUACCCCAGCAUGCCUUUUUUGUGGCAGCACUUAGAUUCUCAUUCAGAAAACAAACGCAUUCAUGCCGUACCAGUGAUUUGUUGGGGAAACUGCCUCAGCCCCACCACCCAGAUCCCCCACGUUCCUACCAAGUAAGCCAAGUGACCAUGUGAAGAACUGACUGACACCCAGAGGAAACUAAUAAACAAAAACAAAUAAAAGCAAAUACCUUUCCAGGAAUCUCACUUGGAAAACCAAGUAUAAUGGCAAAAAACAACCAAAAAAAAAAACCCGAAUGUUUUCAGCUUUGGGGAUGUUGGGGGUGUAGACAUCUAGAGAGCUGGUUUCCGAAGGCACCGCACCUCAGACAAUGUGCUACAAGAGCCUCCCGGCUGCUGUGUCAAUGAAGCCUUUCAGGCCCUCCACACUGCUUCACUUGUUCCCUAAAGUAGUGCUUUCUGGAAGCUAAACUCUCAGCUGGCAAGAACAGUGAACUCUGUGCCAUUUGUCUAUCAACUCCUUUAAAAAGAAAAACCUCCUGUACGGCUCUCUUGUUUUGCAUUUUCUAUUCUGCACUCCAGUACGCAUAACGACACACAGAAGAGGCAAGGGCCUCUUUUAAAACCGUGAAGAAAGAAUAAAUUUGAAAGCACCCAGAAGCCUCUGCUUUCAGCUAUUAGAGAAAAGUUUGCAUCCCAUAGAAACCAGCACUAAUUAAAAAAAAAAAAAAACUCAGUCCUCAACCCUGGGAAUCAACAAUAAGGGACUCUUCAGGGUGUGGAGUAACAAAAAAAUUUAAAAACAAAAAAUAAAUGUGCACAGCCCAUCUAUCUUUUCCCAAUCAAAUAAUACAGCCUUCCAAAAUGUAAAAAUAGAAAUAUUUUCACAUGUGAAUUUUACUUCAAUAAAGUAAUUUUUUAAAAAUCUUUUUAGCCAGGCACAGUGGCUCAUGCUUAUAAUCCCAGCAUUUUGGGAGGCCGAGGCAGGCAGAUCACGAGGUCAGGAGUUCAAGAUCAGCCUGGCCAAGAUGGUGAAACCCCAUCUCUACUGAAAAUACAAAAAAUUAGCCAGGCGUGGUGGUGCACACCUGUAAUCUCAGCUACUCGGGAGCUGAGGCAGGAGAAUCGCUUGAACCCAGGAGACAGAGGUUGCAGUGAUCCAAGAUUGAGCCACUGCACUCCAGCCUGGGUAACAAGAGUGAAACUCAGUCUCACAAAAAAAAAAGAAGAAGAAGAAGAAAACAGGAAGUGCCUUCCAUAAUUCCAAAUACAGUAUUGUUAAAUAUUAAUGUAUUAUAUCCAAAUAGUUCAGUGAAUUUCAAGCUUUCAUCCAGAUGAAUGGAGUUCUUCAUAUUCAUUCAACUAAUAAAUAUUCCUUGAGCAUCUACUACAUGCUAGGCAUUUUUACAAGUAAAAACAAAAGUAGACAAAAAUUGCUGUCUUUAUGGACUCUAUAUUCUAGUAGAAGGCAGAAAAGCCAGUGACCGAUAAAAGCCAGUGACCAACACUUGUGUUUUUUAGCUGACUUAUUCUUGGGUAUUUAAAAGAGAUCUUGGGCCGAGCAGUGGCUCAUGUCUGUAAUCCCAGCAUGUUGGGAGGCCGAGGCGGGCGAAUCAUCUGAGGUCAGGAGUUCGAGACCAGCCUGGCUAACAUGGUAAAACCCCAUCUCUACUAAAAACACAAAAAAUUAGCCAGGCGAGUUGGCGCACGCCUGUAAUCCCAGCUACUCGGGAGGCUGAGGCAGGAGAAUUCCUUGAACCUGGGAGGCGGAGGUUGCAAUGAGCUGAGAUUGCGCCAUGGCACUCUGGCUUGGGCAACAAGAGCAGAACUCCGUCUGAAAAAAAAAAAAAGAUCUUGAAGUUCAAAAAUUAUACGAGUCUGUUAUUUUCCUAGUCUUUUCUCCACUCCAAAGAAAGAUAAACCUAAUUGGUAUUCCUUACCACUACAACAAUCAGGACCACUGAAGUGAGAGGGAAGGAAGCUAUACAAGGAUGUAUUUAAAGCUCAUUACUUAAACAAAAUGAAAACAUAAGAUCCAGAGAGUUCUUUUUAUGUUCGUUUAAGAGCUUCAGAAAGGCUGGGCAGGCUGGCACAUGCCUGUUGUCCUAGCUACUCGGGAGGCUGAGGCAGAAGGAUAGCUUAAGCCCAGGAAUUUGUAUCCACCCCAGGCAACAUAGUGAGGCCUCAUUAAAAAAAAAAAGGAAAGAAAAAAGGGUUUUAGAAAAUAUAAUCUGAUGCACAGAUUAUAGAGUUUUGCAUUUUUAAAAAAUAGAUCUAAUUGAUAAGACAGCAAAAAAUGAAUAUGUGGAACCCAGCAAUUUCAUUCCACGUACACACUAGAGCAGUAAUCAGCAAACAUUUUCUGCAUAGAAUUAGAUACCAGAUAUUUUAGGCUUUGCACGCCAUCCAAUCUCUGUUACAACCACUCACUAGGCCUGAAAACGGCCUUAGGUAAUAUAUAAAUGCAUGAGCAUGGCUGUUCCAAUAAAACUUUACUUAUGGACACUGAAACUUGAAUUUUCAUGUGUCAUAAAAUAUUAGUCUUUCCAUUUUUAAAAGCCAUUCAGAAAUGUAAAAAACACCUUAGUGUCUGGGUCAUAACAAAAAAAAGGUGGAGGGUCCACGGGCCAGACCAUGGUUUGCCAAUCCCUGCUCUAAAGAACUCUUACAGGCCAGGCACAGUGGCUCGCGCCUAUAAUCCCAGCACUUUGGGAGGCCAAGGUGGGCAGAUCACAUGAGGCCAGGAGUUCAAGACCAGCCUGGCCAACAUAGUGAAACCUUGUCUCUACUAAAAAUACAAAAAUUAACUGAGUGUGGUGUCGCGCAUCCGUGGUCCCAGCUACUUGGGAGGCUGAGGCACGAAAACCGCUUGAACCCAGGAGGCAGAUGUUGCAGUGAGCCGAAGUCGUGCCACUGCAUUCCACCCUGGGUGACAGAGCAAGACUCUGUCUUAAAAACAAACAGACAAAAAGAACUCUCACAUACACAUAACUCAACUACACAUGAGAAUGUUCAUAACAUCAUUAUGUGAAUUAGCAAGUAUGCAGAUACCAAAAAUGUUGGUAGACAAAAACUGGAGUUACAUGUAUCAACCAACAUGGAUGAUCUUACAAACCUAUUUAAGAGAAAACACAAAUUACAGAAGAACAGUUACAACGUCAUUUAUAUACAAAUUUUAAAUAUGCAGAAAUUAUAUAUUACUGAGCAUAUUUAACAUAUAUAAUAAAAGUCUGAACAGGCCAUGCGCAGUGGCUCAUGCCUGUAAUCCCAGCACUUUGGGAGCUGAGGCAGGUGGAUCACUUGAGGUCAGGAGUUCAAGACCAGCCUGGCCAACAUGGCGAAACCCCAUCUCUACUAAAAAUUCAAAAAUUAGCCAGGUGUGUUGUCACGCACCUAUAACCCUAGCUACUCAGGAGGCUGAGGCAGGAGAAUCACUGAACCCGGGAGCCAGAGGAUGCAGUGAGCCGAGAUUGUGCCACUGCACUCCAGCCUGGGUGACAGAGUAAGACUCUGUCUCAAAAAACAAAAAGGAAUGUUCCACAUCAAACUCAUUUACCUGGGAAUGAUGUCAGGGGGAGGCAGGAGAAGGAUACAACUGGAGAAGGGUGCACAGGGGGCUUCAACUGCAUUGUUGAUGUUUCAUUUUUUAAACUGACAAGUCGAUCAAUGUCCAUUCUUGAUACCACUGUGUACCUUAAAUAUUUAAUAAUAAAUAAAAAGAAAUGUGCAGUUUUGGGGUUUUUUUUGUUUUGUUUUUUGUUUUUUUAGAUAGAGUCUCGCUGUGUCACCCAGGCUGGACUACAGUGGCGUGAUCUGGGCUCACGCCCAGAUCCUGAGUAUCUGGGACUACAAGCGUGCACCACCACGCCUGGCUAAUUUUUGUAUUUUUAGUAGAGUUUUACCAUGUUGGCCAGGCUGGUCUCGAACUCCUGACUUCAAGUGAUCUACCUGCCUUGAUCUCCCAAAGUGCUGGGAUUACAGGCAUGAGCCACUACGCCCAGCCAGGAAUGUGUAGAUUUAAUGUGAAUUUAGCAAAUGGUUUGUCCUAUUUGAGGGCAGAGGUGAGGUCAGCUUAUAUUAACAUAUCCAAAAACUUGGUUUGAGCCCAGAUUUCUGACACUAAAAACAAAAAAUGCCCCAUUUGUUUCUUUUCUUUCUUUCUUUCUUUCUUUUUUUUUAGAGAUGGAGUCUCGCUCUGUCGCCUAGGCUGGAGUGCAGUGGGGCAAUCUUGGCUCACUGCAAGCUCCACCUCCCGUGUUCACGCCGUUCUCCUGCCUCAGCCGCCUGAGUAGCUGGGAACACAAGCGCCCACCACCACGCCCAGCUAAUUUUUGUAUUUUUAGUAGAGACGGGGUUUCACCGUGUUAGCCAGGAUGGUCUCAAUCUCCUGACCUCGUGAUCCACCUGCCUCAGCCUCCCAAAGUGCUGGGAUUACAGGCGUGAGCCACCACGCCCAGCCUAUUUGUUUCAUUUUUUAAAAUUGGACUGAACCUUAGGAGAAAACAGAAAAUUGUACUACAUUCUUGCAUAGCUAGCUAAUGUAAAUAGCUUCAAGCAACAAACUAGAUAUUAUUGAUCCGUUUCAAAAGAGCUGAGUCAGGCUGGACACGGUGGCUCAUGCCUGUAAUCCCAGCACUUUGAGAGGCCAAGGCAGGCGGAUCACCUGAGGUCAGGAGUUGGAGACCAGCCUGGCCAAUGUGGUGAAACCCCAUGUCUACAACAAAAAAAUACAAAAAUUAGCUGGGCAUGGUGGCGCGUGCCCAGCUACUGUAGUAGUCCCAGCUACUGGGGAGGCUGAGGCACAAGAAUCGCUUGAACCCGGUAGGUGGAAGUUGCAGUGAGCCAAGCAGAGAUUGCACCACUGCACUCCAGCCUGGGCUGGAGUUUUUGUUUCCAUCUCGAAAAAAAAAAAAAAGAACUGAGUCAGAUUCUGACUUGUCUAACGGACUCAGUCGUGAUGUUUUGCCUGUCUGCUCCAAGUUCCCCUGUUCCAGACACAUCUCUCACAGCAUUACAAUGAUCUACAUGCCCUAGGAAUAGCGACUUUCCAUCAUCUGCCUCAUCAGAGCAAAUAGUGUAAGUGGCAAUGACGUUAGUGUUUGUGUGUGUGAAAACCUAGUGCGAAUUUUCCCCUUUCUCUGGCAAAAGCUCACAAGCCAUCAUUAUAGAAAAGCAGAAGAAAAAACUGCUUGUUCUGCUUUUCCUGACCUCAGAAGCAGUAGUUGUUAAAACUCUUUAAAAAAAAAAAAAAAAGGGGGGGUCUUGCUAUGCUGCCCAGACAGGUCUCCAUCUCCUGGGCUCAAGCAGAGCUGGGACUACAGGCACACCACCACACCAAGCAAAACUGUCUUUUGAUUUAAAAUUACUUAAAUACUUCUUUAAGGGUCUCCUGUAGUCACUUAUCUUCCAGUUACCUAAAUCACUAACUUCUUUUUUUUUUUCCUUCAGAGACCCCCCCAAAGUCACAUCCGUUGCAAUUAUCGGGCAGGUACUGCCCUCUAGUGUUUAUACUUUUAUAAUAAAAAUUUUACACACUACCCUUUUAACUGACCUCAAAGCAUGGAAAAUCUGUCAAAAACCUAAAUAAUAUCCUAUUAACCCAAGAUUUUUCACCUUCACACUACUGGCAUUCUGAUCACCCUUUGUUGCGGGGCUGUCUUGUGCACUGUGGGACGUUUGGCAGCACCCCUGGCAUCUCCCCACUUGAUGCAGUAGCACUCCCACACACAUCCCGGUGUGACAACCAAAAAUAUCUCCAGACACAGCUAAAUGUCCCCAGGGGAACAAAAUCACCCCUGCUUGAGAUCCACUGUAUUAGUCUAAAGGUUGUCCAAAACAUUCACAUUAGACCUGAAAAUUGUAAGGGAAAAGGGCUUCUCUGGGCUAAUUCCUUUGAAUGAGAUAAAGAACUUCAUUUCUGCAUGAAAAACAAGGAGGUAGAGAAUUAAGAUUUUCAGCUCCCCGCCUCCACGUACCCGCAAAGUCCUGGCCAUUGGGACAUUUUUUAUGCCUUUAGCUUUCUGUUGCAGCUUUACCUCUUAGACCUCUUCACUUCCUUUCAAAGUGCAUCACAAACAAAGCUUGCCCUUCUAGCCAAAUGCAGAGAAUGUGGUAGGGAAAAGGAAGAAGGGAGGUCUGAGCAUUUGUACUCAAAAAAAGGGCUCUGGCUAGAUGUGGUGACUCAUGCCUGUAAUCCCGGCACUUUGGGAGGCUGAGGUGGGCAGGAGUUCAAGACCAGCCUUGGCAACAUGGCAAAACCCCAUCUCUACUAAAAAUACAAAAUUAGCCGGGUUCAAUGGCAGGUGCUUGUAGUCCCAGCUAUUCUGGAGGCUAAGGCACGAGAAUCCCUUGAGCCUAGGGGGCAGGGAGGCUGCAGUGAGCCAAGAUUGCCCCACUGCACUCCAGCCUGGGCAACAGAGCAAGACUCUGUCUCAAAAAAAAAAAAAAAAGGAGGGGGGGCUCUAGCAUUAAUAAUGCAGCCAACCAGGAACCUGAAUUGAUUGUCAGCCUAAUAUGAAAAUUCUUAUCAAAUAUCAAAAUAAGUUUCAAAUCUGGCUUUUAGAAAGACAUUUAGGAGGGUUUAUUCCAAUCUGCUAUGAAUGAUUAUUCUUCAUACAAAUGCAUUAUGCUUAUAAACCUUGGUUCUGUGAUUUUUUUUUUUUUUUCCAGACGGAGUCUCACUCUGUCUCCCAGGCUGGAGUGCAGUGGCACGAUCUCAGCUCACUGCAACCUCCGUCUCCCGGGUUCAAGCAAUUCUCCUGCCUCAGCCUCCCAAGUAGCUGGGAUUACAGAUGUCCGCCACCACACCUGGCUAAUUUUUGUAUUUUUAUUAGAGACGGGGUUUCACCAUGUUGGCCAGGAUGGUCAUGAUCUCUUGACCUCGUGAUCCGCCUGCCUCAGCCUUCCAAAGUGCUGGGAUUACAGGUGUAAGCCACCGUGCCCGGCUAGUUCUAUGAAUUUUAACACUUGCAAAUUACUGAGAACUUGAUAUUUAAAAAAUAAAAAAGGAGUUUGGACUGUCACUAACUUCCUCCCCUCAUCAAAUUUCUCACUGACUUAGUUGAUUUCACUGAAGAACUAAACAAAAAAUAAGAAUAAUCGGGCCAGGAGCAGUGGUUCAUGCCUGUAAUCCCAGCAGUUUGGGAGGCUGAGACAGGUGGAUUACUUGAGGCCAGGAGUUUGCGACCAGCCUGGGCAACAUGGUGAAACCCCGUCUCUAUUAAAAAUACAAAAAAAUUAGCCAGGCUUGGUGGUGCAUGCCUGUAAUCCCAGUUUCUGGGGAGGCUGAGGCACGAGAAUCAUUUGAGUCUGGGAGGCGGAGGUUGCAGUGAGCAACCUGUAUCAAAAAAAUAAUAAUUUUUUUCUGUCUCAAAAAAUAAUAAUUUUUUUUUUGAGACAGAGUCUCGCUCUGUCGCCCAGGCUAGAGUGCAGUGGUGCAACCUCUGCUCACUGCA